AGAGGUUUUGAAGAGAGAGGUUUAUGUCUUCCUCAAACUCUAUCAGCUACAUACAAAUUGAUAUAUAAGAAAUACUGAAUCAUAUCAAUUAGGCAAUUUUUAAGUCGAUGCGAGGUAACAAUCUGAACUAAAUCAUUGUUAAUUACCUGAGCCCUGACCUGGUGUUUGAUGGCGCUCUCAUCUAGCUAGUCCAGCUUUGAUUUAUAUCAAAGUACCUAAACUUAUAUGAUUGCCAGUGAAGUGGACCACUAGGGGGUAUUUACUUGGCAA
This 270-nucleotide long non-coding RNA is filed under the name Brassica napus (rape). RNAcentral describes it as "long non-coding RNA (BNAP_LNC006986)". Lineage: Eukaryota; Viridiplantae; Streptophyta; Magnoliopsida; Brassicales; Brassicaceae. The record is from RNAcentral.